Molecule: ribosomal RNA, 410 nt
Filed under: Gilliamella apicola
Lineage: Bacteria; Pseudomonadati; Pseudomonadota; Gammaproteobacteria; Orbales; Orbaceae
Description: bacterial SSU rRNA
Rfam family: Bacterial small subunit ribosomal RNA
Source: RNAcentral
CUGAUGCAGCCAUGCCGCGUGUAUGAUGAAGGCCUUCGGGUUGUAAAGUACUUUCGGUAACGAGGAAGGUGGUGUAUCUCAUAGGUGCAUCACUUGACGUUUAUUACACAACAACCACCGGCUAACUCCGUGCCAUCAGCCGCGGUAAUACGGAGGGUGCGAGCGUUAAUCGGAAUGACUGGGCGUAUAGGGCAUGUAAGCGGAUAAUUAAGUUAGGUGUGAAAGCCCUGGGCUCAACCUAUGAAUUGCACUUAAAACUGGUUAACUUCAGUAUUGUAAAGGAAGGUACAAUUCCACGUGUAGCAGUGAAAUGCGUAAAGAUGUGGAGGAAUACCGGUGGCGAAGGCGGCCUUCUGGACCGAUACUGACGCUCAGAUGCAAAAGCUGGGGGAGCACACAGGAUUAGAUAC